CCUACGGGUGACAGCAGUGGGGAAUAUUGCGCAAUGGGCGAAAGCCUGACGCAGCGACGCCGCGUGAGGGAUGAAGGUCUUCGGAUCGUAAACCUCUGUCAGCAGGGAAGAACGGUCACUGUGCUAAUCAGCAGUGAAUUGACGGUACCUGCAAAGGAAGCACCGGCUAACUCCGUGCCAGCAGCCGCGGUAAUACGGGGGGUGCGAGCGUUAAUCGGAAUUACUGGGCGUAAAGCGCUCGUAGGCGGUAUGUCAAGUCAAGGGUGAAAUCCCCGCGCUCAACGUGGGAACUGCCUUUGAAACUGGCAAACUGGAGUGUGUGAGAGGAUAGUGGAAUUCCAGGUGUAGGAGUGAAAGCCGUAGAUAUCUGGAGGAACAUCAGUGGCGAAGGCGACUAUCUGGCACAUAACUGACGCUGAGGAGCGAAAGCGUGGGUAGCAAACAGGAUUAGAUACCCCAGUAGUC
This 465-nucleotide ribosomal RNA is filed under the name uncultured bacterium. Its description in RNAcentral is "partial 16S ribosomal RNA". It matches the Rfam family "Bacterial small subunit ribosomal RNA", at positions 338 to 795 of the family's 1533-position model. The record is from RNAcentral.